UAAGUUUUAUUAUAUAAAUAAAGUACGGGAGAUACAUAACGCAUGUCUGGUGAGCAGUUGGCCUUAAAAAGGGGGUUUAAUCAAUGUUAAAGGGGCUAAGUCAGGUUUUGUUUAUUUAUGCAAAUUUUUGAUUUUAGAUAAGUAGCGAGCAGUUGUUGACAUUGCAUAUCCAGGGGGUUGGGAUGUGGCAAUAAUUUUUAACACUGACAAAAUUUGUGCCAGCAGUCGCGGUUAUACAAAUAGUGUGAUUUAGCUUUUUCGGUGGUAUAGUUAAUUUAUUUGAUUGAUUUAAAUAUUUUUAGUUUUAAGGUGAAAUUUUUGAUUUUAUAUUGUUAUCGUUAGAUUUGAUGAGGCUAGGAAACUUUUUUUUUAGACUAGGAUUAGAUACCCUAUUAUUGAAAGCGUUAAUUCAGGUUGCUUGAUUAGUAAGAGUUAUGGUCUUAAAAAUUAAAUAUUUUGGCGGUAUUUUAAUCCUUCCAGAGGAACCUGCCCUGUAAUCGAUAGUCCACGAUUUGUUAUACUUUUUUGAGUGUUUGUAUAUCGUCGUUGUCAGGGAAUUUUCUUAAAAUUUGAAUUCUCGUAAUUUUGGAUUUAUCAGCAAAUCAGAUCAAGGUGCAGCAUUAAGAAGAAGAGGUGGGUUACAUUAUAAUUAUAUUGGGAUUUAAAAUUUUAUAUUUUGUUGAAUAUGGAUUUGGUAGUAAUUUUUCUUAGAUUAAAACAGUGAAUUGGGCUCUAGAAUAAGCACAUAUCGCCCGUCGCUUUCGUUAUGUUUUACGAAAUAAGUCGUAACAUAGUAGGUUUACUGGAAAGUGGUCCUGGAAAGGC
This 825-nucleotide non-coding RNA is filed under the name Labidostomis ghilianii. Lineage: Eukaryota; Metazoa; Arthropoda; Insecta; Coleoptera; Chrysomelidae. The record is from RNAcentral.